Molecule: ribosomal RNA, 252 nt
Filed under: uncultured bacterium
Lineage: Bacteria
Description: partial 16S ribosomal RNA
Rfam family: Bacterial small subunit ribosomal RNA
Source: RNAcentral
UACGGAGGGUGCGAGCGUUGUCCGGAAUCAUUGGGCGUAAAGGGUACGUAGGUGGUUAUAAAAGUUAGAAGUGAAAGGCUAUAGCUCAACUAUAGUAAGCUUUUAAAACUGUUUAACUUGAGAGAUGGAAGGGAGAGUGGAAUUCCUAGUGUAGCGGUGAAAUGCGUAGAUAUUAGGAGGAAUACCGGUGGCGAAGGCGACUUUCUGGCCAUAAACUGACGCUGAGGUACGAAAGCGUGGGUAGCAAACAGG